UAAGCGACUAAGCGUACACGGUGGAUGCCCUGGCAGUCAGAGGCGAUGAAGGACGUGCUAAUCUGCGAUAAGCGUCGGUAAGGUGAUAUGAACCGUUAUAACCGGCGAUUUCCGAAUGGGGAAACCCAGUGUGAUUCGUCACACUAUCAUUAACUGAAUCCAUAGGUUAAUGAGGCGAACCGGGGGAACUGAAACAUCUAAGUACCCCGAGGAAAAGAAAUCAACCGAGAUUCCCCCAGUAGCGGCGAGCGAACGGGGAGGAGCCCAGAGCCUGAAUCAGUGUGUGUGUUAGUGGAAGCGUCUGGAAAGGCGCGCGAUACAGGGUGACAGCCCCGUACACAAAAAUGCACAUGCUGUGAGCUCGAUGAGUAGGGCGGGACACGUGGUAUCCUGUCUGAAUAUGGGGGGACCAUCCUCCAAGGCUAAAUACUCCUGACUGACCGAUAGUGAACCAGUACCGUGAGGGAAAGGCGAAAAGAACCCCGGCGAGGGGAGUGAAAAAGAACCUGAAACCGUGUACGUACAAGCAGUGGGAGCACGCUUAGGCGUGUGACUGCGUACCUUUUGUAUAAUGGGUCAGCGACUUAUAUUCUGUAGCAAGGUUAACCGAAUAGGGGAGCCGAAGGGAAACCGAGUCUUAACUGGGCGUUAAGUUGCAGGGUAUAGACCCGAAACCCGGUGAUCUAGCCAUGGGCAGGUUGAAGGUUGGGUAACACUAACUGGAGGACCGAACCGACUAAUGUUGAAAAAUUAGCGGAUGACUUGUGGCUGGGGGUGAAAGGCCAAUCAAACCGGGAGAUAGCUGGUUCUCCCCGAAAGCUAUUUAGGUAGCGCCUCGUGAAUUCAUCUCCGGGGGUAGAGCACUGUUUCGGCAAGGGGGUCAUCCCGACUUACCAACCCGAUGCAAACUGCGAAUACCGGAGAAUGUUAUCACGGGAGACACACGGCGGGUGCUAACGUCCGUCGUGAAGAGGGAAACAACCCAGACCGCCAGCUAAGGUCCCAAAGUCAUGGUUAAGUGGGAAACGAUGUGGGAAGGCCCAGACAGCCAGGAUGUUGGCUUAGAAGCAGCCAUCAUUUAAAGAAAGCGUAAUAGCUCACUGGUCGAGUCGGCCUGCGCGGAAGAUGUAACGGGGCUAAACCAUGCACCGAAGCUGCGGCAGCGACGCUUAUGCGUUGUUGGGUAGGGGAGCGUUCUGUAAGCCUGUGAAGGUGUGCUGUGAGGCAUGCUGGAGGUAUCAGAAGUGCGAAUGCUGACAUAAGUAACGAUAAAGCGGGUGAAAAGCCCGCUCGCCGGAAGACCAAGGGUUCCUGUCCAACGUUAAUCGGGGCAGGGUGAGUCGACCCCUAAGGCGAGGCCGAAAGGCGUAGUCGAUGGGAAACAGGUUAAUAUUCCUGUACUUGGUGUUACUGCGAAGGGGGGACGGAGAAGGCUAUGUUGGCCGGGCGACGGUUGUCCCGGUUUAAGCGUGUAGGCUGGUUUUCCAGGCAAAUCCGGAAAAUCAAGGCUGAGGCGUGAUGACGAGGCACUACGGUGCUGAAGCAACAAAUGCCCUGCUUCCAGGAAAAGCCUCUAAGCAUCAGGUAACAUCAAAUCGUACCCCAAACCGACACAGGUGGUCAGGUAGAGAAUACCAAGGCGCUUGAGAGAACUCGGGUGAAGGAACUAGGCAAAAUGGUGCCGUAACUUCGGGAGAAGGCACGCUGAUAUGUAGGUGAAGUCCCUCGCGGAUGGAGCUGAAAUCAGUCGAAGAUACCAGCUGGCUGCAACUGUUUAUUAAAAACACAGCACUGUGCAAACACGAAAGUGGACGUAUACGGUGUGACGCCUGCCCGGUGCCGGAAGGUUAAUUGAUGGGGUUAGCGCAAGCGAAGCUCUUGAUCGAAGCCCCGGUAAACGGCGGCCGUAACUAUAACGGUCCUAAGGUAGCGAAAUUCCUUGUCGGGUAAGUUCCGACCUGCACGAAUGGCGUAAUGAUGGCCAGGCUGUCUCCACCCGAGACUCAGUGAAAUUGAACUCGCUGUGAAGAUGCAGUGUACCCGCGGCAAGACGGAAAGACCCCGUGAACCUUUACUAUAGCUUGACACUGAACAUUGAGCCUUGAUGUGUAGGAUAGGUGGGAGGCUUUGAAGUGUGGACGCCAGUCUGCAUGGAGCCGACCUUGAAAUACCACCCUUUAAUGUUUGAUGUUCUAACGUGGACCCGUAAUCCGGGUUGCGGACAGUGUCUGGUGGGUAGUUUGACUGGGGCGGUCUCCUCCUAAAGAGUAACGGAGGAGCACGAAGGUUGGCUAAUCCUGGUCGGACAUCAGGAGGUUAGUGCAAUGGCAUAAGCCAGCUUGACUGCGAGCGUGACGGCGCGAGCAGGUGCGAAAGCAGGUCAUAGUGAUCCGGUGGUUCUGAAUGGAAGGGCCAUCGCUCAACGGAUAAAAGGUACUCCGGGGAUAACAGGCUGAUACCGCCCAAGAGUUCAUAUCGACGGCGGUGUUUGGCACCUCGAUGUCGGCUCAUCACAUCCUGGGGCUGAAGUAGGUCCCAAGGGUAUGGCUGUUCGCCAUUUAAAGUGGUACGCGAGCUGGGUUUAGAACGUCGUGAGACAGUUCGGUCCCUAUCUGCCGUGGGCGCUGGAGAAUUGAGGGGGGCUGCUCCUAGUACGAGAGGACCGGAGUGGACGCAUCACUGGUGUUCGGGUUGUCAUGCCAAUGGCACUGCCCGGUAGCUAAAUGCGGAAGAGAUAAGUGCUGAAAGCAUCUAAGCACGAAACUUGCCCCGAGAUGAGUUCUCCCUGACUCCUUGAGAGUCCUGAAGGAACGUUGAAGACGACGACGUUGAUAGGCCGGGUGUGUAAGCGCAGCGAUGCGUUGAGCUAACCGGUACUAAUGAACCGUGAGGCUUAACCU
RNAcentral lists this ribosomal RNA (2900 nucleotides) under Escherichia coli. Its description in RNAcentral is "bacterial LSU rRNA". It matches the Rfam family "Bacterial large subunit ribosomal RNA". Lineage: Bacteria; Pseudomonadati; Pseudomonadota; Gammaproteobacteria; Enterobacterales; Enterobacteriaceae. The record is from RNAcentral.